Molecule: ribosomal RNA, 201 nt
Filed under: uncultured bacterium
Lineage: Bacteria
Description: partial 16S ribosomal RNA
Rfam family: Bacterial small subunit ribosomal RNA
Source: RNAcentral
UACGUAGGGUGCAAGCGUUAAUCGGAAUUACUGGGCGUAAAGCGCGUGUAGGUGGCAAGGCAAGUCGGGUGUGAAAGCCCUGGGCUCAACCCAGGAAGUGCACUCGAUACUGCCUCGCUAGAGUCCCGGAGAGGUUGGUGGAACCUCUCGGUGUAGAGGUGAAAUUCGUAGAUAUCGAGAAGAACACCGGUGGCGAAGGCG